CUUUCAGUUGUCCGAGGAGCUUCAAGACGAAUCAGCUACAAGAGAAGUGAAUGAGCUUCUCAAGCUUUUGGCCAAGCCCCACUUGAAGAGCCUUCUGUCAGUCCACGAUGUAGUUGCACAGAAAAGCUAUGAGCCUGAACUACCUCCAAUGCCCGAAGACUUCAACGAUGACGAGGAUUCCGUCAAGAUCAUAAGGCUAGUUAAAAACAAGGAGCCUCUGGGAGCUACGAUAAAGCAAGAUGAUUUUACAGGAGCCAUCCUUGUGGCCCGAAUCAUGAAAGGAGGGGCGGCAGACAGAAGUGGUUUGUUUCAAGUCUUCAAUUUUCUUGUA
Long non-coding RNA from Hippocampus comes (tiger tail seahorse), 331 nucleotides. RefSeq lists it as uncharacterized. The transcript is spliced from 3 exons. The record is from RefSeq and is a predicted model, not a curated record. NCBI's taxonomy places the organism in Eukaryota, Metazoa, Chordata, Actinopteri, Syngnathiformes, Syngnathidae.